Molecule: ribosomal RNA, 499 nt
Filed under: uncultured bacterium
Lineage: Bacteria
Description: partial 16S ribosomal RNA
Rfam family: Bacterial small subunit ribosomal RNA
Source: RNAcentral
GACGAACGCUGGCGGCGUGCCUAAUACAUGCAAGUCGAGCGGACUUUCAAGAAGCUUGCUUUUUGAAAGUUAGCGGCGGACGGGUGAGUAACACGUGGGCAACCUGCCUGCAAGACGGGGAUAACUCCGGGAAACCGGGGCUAAUACCGGAUAAUAUCUUCCUUCGCAUGAAGGAAGGUUGAAAGGCGGCGCAAGCUGCCGCUUGCAGAUGGGCCCGCGGCGCAUUAGCUAGUUGGUGAGGUAACGGCUCACCAAGGCGACGAGGCGUAGCCGACCGGAGAGGGUGAUCGGCCACACUGGGACUGAGACACGGCCCAGACUCCUACGGGAGGCAGCAGUAGGGAAUCUUCCGCAAUGGACGAAAGUCUGACGGAGCAACGCCGCGUGAGCGAAGAAGGUCUUCGGAUCGUAAAGCUCUGUUGUCAGGGAAGAACAAGUACCGUUCGAACAGGGCGGUACCUUGACGGUACCUGACCAGAAAGCCACGGCUAACUACGUG